Molecule: unclassified non-coding RNA, 240 nt
Filed under: Hevea brasiliensis (rubber tree)
Lineage: Eukaryota; Viridiplantae; Streptophyta; Magnoliopsida; Malpighiales; Euphorbiaceae
Source: RNAcentral
CCAGCGGCGGUUGCAGCCAUUUUCGCUCCGAUAGCGCCGCCGCUACGGUGGGUGGAGGCGAUGGAAGUGAGUUUGAUAGAGGGGAAAGUGGCGGAGAAAGAGAUGUUGAGGGGUUUUUGAGACGAAAGGGCUGUUGAGAGUCGUGCAGAUGGUGGGAUUUUGGACUGGAGGGAAACUGGGGUGUUGAGAAGCGCUGCCAUUGCUGCUGAUGGUGGUGGUGAGGGAAAGAAGGAGAUGUGG